AUUCAACCUUUAAGGUAUAUAAUUCACUGGGUUAGUAGUAUAUUCAACAGUUAUUCAGCCACCCUCAGUCACCACCUAACACAGAUCAUGUUAGUUACUCUAGACAACCCUGUACUCAGUACUAGUUGCCCCAACUGCCCUUACAACCACGAAUCUAGUGUUUGUCUCUAUGCAUUUGCCUACUCUGGACAGUUCAUGGGAACAGAAUCACACAAUAUGUGAUCUCUUUAUUCUGGCUCUUUUACUUAGCAUAAUGGUUUUAAGGUUUAUCCAUGCUGGUUUUUUAAAUGAUUUUAAUAAGAAUGUUUCCACCUUGGUUAGAAAGACCUUCCUCAGUCAGAGAUUACAUAAAUACUUGCCUGUGUUUUCUUCUGGAGUUAUUUCACUUAUUACAUUCUCAGUAAUUUCAUAUUAUUAAACCUGUUUGUAGAUUUUGUGUUUUUUUUUCUCUGCUUGCUCAUUCUUCCACUAGAAAAGUGUUAAUAUUAAACCCAGAGUUAGUCCUCUAUUAUAUCUCUUCCUUUUAAGAUUCAUCUUGUUCUUUGAGUUUAUUUUUUUCCUUCCAAAUUAACUUCAAGAUCAUUUUAUUGAAUUUCAGGGGAAAAUAUCAUUGGCAUUUUGGUUCAAAUUAUCUUCUGUUUGCUUGGGAGAGAUUUGAAUUCUUCAAAAUACAAAUGUGAUGAGCAGAAAAAUAAAUAUUUAAAAACGUGUUGCUCUGGAGAUGAGAAAACAAAUUUUUUUUCCAGGGUGUGAGAAGUGUUUUUAUUUUAUUUUUUUCCCUAAGGGAAGAGAACACAAUAGCUCAAUGACUUCUUUGGUUACACAAAUUAAUACCACCCUUGCCCCCAUCUAUGUGAGUAAGGAUGAGAGAGACAGCUAAAUUGUUCUUAGCUAUGAAAUAACAGGAAGAGUGAGUUUCCAAAGGCUUAUACUAGGAAAGAGUUUAG
This 947-nucleotide long non-coding RNA is filed under the name Marmota monax (woodchuck). The record is from RNAcentral. Lineage: Eukaryota; Metazoa; Chordata; Mammalia; Rodentia; Sciuridae.